UACAGAGGUCUCAAGCGUUGUUCGGAUUCACUGGGCGUAAAGGGCGCGUAGGCGGCUCAUGAAGGCUGUGGUGAAAGUCCGGGGCUCAACCUCGGAUCGGCCGUGGCGACUCGUGGGCUGGAGCACUGUAGAGGCGGGUGGAAUUCCGGGUGUAGCGGUGGAAUGCGUAGAGAUCCGGAAGAACACCAGUGGCGAAGGCGGCCCGCUGGGCAGUGGCUGACGCUGAGGCGCGACAGCGUGGGGAGCAAACAGG
Molecule: ribosomal RNA, 253 nt
Filed under: uncultured bacterium
Lineage: Bacteria
Description: partial 16S ribosomal RNA
Rfam family: Bacterial small subunit ribosomal RNA
Source: RNAcentral